AAAGGGAGACCUAAUUCAGGUAAAAGACGAAAAAAAAGUAGUCGCUACCAAGAAUCAAUCCCAAAAGGUCGGAGCGAGGCGAAAUUGGCUUUCAAACUAGGUUCUGGGUUCAAACAAGACCUGAAUCAGGAACAAGGGCUAUUAGCUCAGGUGGUUAGAGCGCACCCCUGAUAAGGGUGAGGUCCCUGGUUCGAGUCCAGGAUGGCCCACCUGCACAGGUGGCAAAAACAAGAGAAGCGAGGAAUCAGCACCUUAUCUUACUUAUAUAGUAAGAGAGAAUGCUGGCUCUGAGUAAAGAGUCCAGGGGAACCUUGAAAACUGCAUAGAGCUAGGUGAAAAAGCCAAAAAAGAAGACCGCAAG
This 361-nucleotide transfer RNA is filed under the name uncultured Microcystis sp. RNAcentral describes it as "partial 16S-23S ribosomal RNA intergenic spacer". The stretch from base 136 to 209 matches the Rfam family "tRNA". Lineage: Bacteria; Bacillati; Cyanobacteriota; Cyanophyceae; Chroococcales; Microcystaceae. The record is from RNAcentral.